CGGGAGGUAGUUCAGCCCGGUAGAAUCCAUGGCUGGGGGUCAUGUGGUCGCAGGUUCGAAUCCUGUCCUCCCGA
This 74-nucleotide transfer RNA is filed under the name Chitinophagaceae bacterium. RNAcentral describes it as "tRNA-Pro". It matches the Rfam family "tRNA". Rfam says of the family: Transfer RNA (tRNA) molecules are approximately 80 nucleotides in length. Their secondary structure includes four short double-helical elements and three loops (D, anti-codon, and T loops). Further hydrogen bonds mediate the characteristic L-shaped molecular structure. tRNAs have two regions of fundamental functional importance: the anti-codon, which is responsible for specific mRNA codon recognition, and the 3' end, to which the tRNAs corresponding amino acid is attached (by aminoacyl-tRNA synthetases). tRNAs cope with the degeneracy of the genetic code in two manners: having more than one tRNA (with a specific anti-codon) for a particular amino acid; and 'wobble' base-pairing, i.e. permitting non-standard base-pairing at the 3rd anti-codon position. Lineage: Bacteria; Pseudomonadati; Bacteroidota; Chitinophagia; Chitinophagales; Chitinophagaceae. The record is from RNAcentral.